CUGAGGCUCUGGAUCCUGGGUGACCUCAUGGUGGGGGGAAUCUGCUAAGUUCCCACCAAAUGAUGACUCUUUCACGAGCUUUCAAAACUCAAUCCACACUUUGUUGUUGGAAUGAUUCCCAAGAUGAAGAACAAAAGAGUCAAAGCAUCCUUCUGCCUGCAUCCAAAUGUAAUCCAACAUCCCUGCGAAAUGGAAUACUGCAUACAGCUGAUCAAAACCUCCAUGAAAGUAAAAUUUCAGAGCUGCUAUUUGGCCCCAGAAGCUCAUGUUGCCCAUUCUGAUAUUCAAAUGGAAAUACCUGCAAGUGGUUACCUCUGAGUCUUGCAAGUAUAUAUGGUACCCACUGUACAUAUGUAUAAAUGGGUGAUUUUA
Molecule: long non-coding RNA, 372 nt
Organism: Neofelis nebulosa (Clouded leopard)
Lineage: Eukaryota; Metazoa; Chordata; Mammalia; Carnivora; Felidae
Exons: 2
Source: RefSeq, a predicted model, not a curated record